UGAGGAAUAUUGCGCAAUGGGGGCAACCCUGACGCAGCAACGCCGCGUGAGUGAGGAAGGUUUUCGGACCGUAAAGCUCUGUCGAGCGGGAAGAAAUGCAUGGUGGCUAAUAUCCAUCAUGCUUGACGGUACCGCUAGAGGAAGCACCGGCUAACUCCGUGCCAGCAGCCGCGGUAAUACGGGGGGUGCGAGCGUUGUUCGGAAUUAUUGGGCGUAAAGAGCGUGUAGGCGGCCGAAUAAGUCAGAUGUGAAAUCCCUGGGCUUAACCCAGGACGUGCAUUUGAAACUAUUCGGCUAGAGUAGGGGAGAGGAAAGUGGAAUUCCUGGUGUAGAGGUGAAAUUCGUAGAUAUCAAGAGGAACGCCGGUGGCGAAGGCGACUUUCUGGCCCUAUACUGACGCUGAGACGCGAGAGCGUGGGUAGCAAACAG
This 429-nucleotide ribosomal RNA is filed under the name uncultured bacterium. RNAcentral describes it as "bacterial SSU rRNA". It matches the Rfam family "Bacterial small subunit ribosomal RNA", at positions 355 to 775 of the family's 1533-position model. The record is from RNAcentral.